This 352-nucleotide long non-coding RNA is filed under the name Setaria viridis. RNAcentral describes it as "long non-coding RNA (SVIR_LNC005743)". Lineage: Eukaryota; Viridiplantae; Streptophyta; Magnoliopsida; Poales; Poaceae. The record is from RNAcentral.
UCCUCACUCUAAAGCUAGCCAAUGUGUGAGUUCCUAGUUACAGGUCCCGGGGUCAUGCAUUUAACAAGGGUGAGAGAGAUUAUGUAUAAAGUAAAAGGGUAUGAGUGUGUGUGGUGUUGUAUGGGGCUCUAAAAUCCCUCCUUUAUUCUACUUAAUAUAAUGAUACGCAGCUCUCCUGCGUGUUUGAGGAAAAAAAAGUUCAAGUUUUGUGAGAUGCUAAAAGUCAUGAUCUCCAAUGUUAGAAAAAUACUUUAAAAAAAUACUUUAAUGCAUCAGAAAAUUUCAUAUAUGAAGUCACUAAAGAAUUUUUGUAUUCAAACAUUAAAAUUAUAACUUAUUUUUUAUAUAAUGU